Molecule: non-coding RNA, 105 nt
Organism: Mesorhizobium sp. L48C026A00
Lineage: Bacteria; Pseudomonadati; Pseudomonadota; Alphaproteobacteria; Hyphomicrobiales; Phyllobacteriaceae
Source: Rfam
GGGGGACGGUCCUCCGGGAUCGGCUUUCAGGAGCAGGUCUCAAACCAGUCCAAGCUGCUGCGGUAAAGAGCCGUGGUUCGAAGACGCGUCGUUAUGAACGUAAGU